RNAcentral lists this ribosomal RNA (464 nucleotides) under Escherichia coli. RNAcentral describes it as "bacterial SSU rRNA". It matches the Rfam family "Bacterial small subunit ribosomal RNA", at positions 338 to 796 of the family's 1533-position model. Lineage: Bacteria; Pseudomonadati; Pseudomonadota; Gammaproteobacteria; Enterobacterales; Enterobacteriaceae. The record is from RNAcentral.
CCUACGGGGGGCUGCAGUGGGGAAUUGUUCGCAAUGGGCGCAAGCCUGACGACGCAACGCCGCGUGGAGGAUGAAGAUCUUCGGGUCGUAAACUCCUUUCGAUCGAGACGAAUUCCGGGGUGAACAAUCCCGAAGGUUGACGGUACCGAGAGAAGAAGCCCCGGCUAACUCCGUGCCAGCAGCCGCGGUAAUACGGGGGGGGCAAGCGUUGUUCGGAAUUACUGGGCGUAAAGGGCUCGUAGGCGGCCAACUAAGUCAGACGUGAAAUCCCUCGGCUUAACCGGGGAACUGCGUCUGAUACUGGAUGGCUUGAGUUUGGGAGAGGGAUGCGGAAUUCCAGGUGUAGCGGUGAAAUGCGUAGAUAUCUGGAGGAACACCGGUGGCGAAGGCGGCAUCCUGGACCGACAUUGACGCUGAGGAGCGAAAGCCAGGGGAGCAAACGGGAUUAGAUACCCUAGUAGUCC